CUAACAUGGUGCCAGAAAGUAGCAUAAGGUUUGCAACCGAUCCACUGUGGCAAGACUAGUGUGCACAUGCUCACAGAGCCAGGCAUAGCCAAGACAAGCAUUUGCCUUCCUGUUCAGUUUUCUCCCACAAACCAAUCUAAAUAUUCAGGCUGGGGUGAUACACAAGAGACACAAGUAUUUUUCAGAAUGUCUUAUAUCCUUUCCUGUAAGACUAUUUGGACCUUAAAGAAGGGAGGUGGAUGGUGUGGUGAAAGUCAAUGACUACUGUCAAAAACUUAAAUAGUAGGAAGUCCUAUUGGUAUAGCCAAACUACUACCCACCUCAGCCAUUCAUCAUUCAUUAGAGUCAUUCUUCGGCCCUUGUUACAUCAAGUCCUGUGCUAACUGCAUACCAGGGAUAGAAAGGAGAGCUCGCUCAUGAAGAGCUGAGCCAGUGGUGGGGAAAAGAUGAUAUCAGACCCUCAUACCCAGGACGAGUGCUCUGAGGAGAGUGUUCUGAGGCUUCAUGUGGCCUGUACUCUGCAGACCUAGAAAAGGGGUUUGGUCCGUUUGGGGUUGGAGGAGGAGUUCCAGGAAGGAUGCCUUGUUGGCGUAAUGACUGAACCGAGAUUUAAGGAUGAGCAGGAAUCAAAUAGAGAAAACAAAGAAGGAAAAGUGUUCUGGGUGAAGAAGUAGGAUGGACCCGAAUGCAUGGGGCCUGCUAGGCUUAGCAGGGGAUUUUGCUCUUCAGCCUGUGGGCAUGGGAAACUCUUGAGGGUUUUGUAAGCCUGAGUGUAGAGGUGGU
RNAcentral lists this long non-coding RNA (783 nucleotides) under Marmota monax (woodchuck). Lineage: Eukaryota; Metazoa; Chordata; Mammalia; Rodentia; Sciuridae. The record is from RNAcentral.